Molecule: ribosomal RNA, 313 nt
Filed under: uncultured fungus
Lineage: Eukaryota; Fungi
Description: eukaryotic LSU rRNA
Rfam family: 5.8S ribosomal RNA (bases 1-125)
Source: RNAcentral
GCAUCGAUGAAGAACGCAGCGAAAUGCGAUAAGUAGUGUGAAUUGCAGAAUUCAGUGAAUCAUCGAAUCUUUGAACGCACAUUGCGCCCCUUGGUAUUCCAUGGGGCAUGCCUGUUCGAGCGUCAUUUGUACCUUCAAGCUCUGCUUGGUGUUGGGUGUUUGUCCCGCCUUUGUGCGCGGACUCGCCUUAAAGCAAUUGGCAGCCGGCGUAUUAGUUUCGGAGCGCAGCACAAAUCGCGCUCUGUGUCUUAUACGGUAGCAUCCAUCAAGACUAUUUUACACUCUUGACCUCGGAUCAGGUAGGGAUACCCGC